This 500-nucleotide ribosomal RNA is filed under the name uncultured bacterium. RNAcentral's name for it is "bacterial SSU rRNA". It matches the Rfam family "Bacterial small subunit ribosomal RNA", at positions 17 to 518 of the family's 1533-position model. The record is from RNAcentral.
UUCUGGCUCAGGAUGAACGCUGGCGGCGUGCCUAACACAUGCAAGUCGAGCGAGAAACUCAUGAUCGAAACUCGGUUGAUUGAUUGAGCGGAAAGCGGCGGACGGGUGAGUAACGCGUAGGCAACCUGCCCCUUGCAGAGGGAUAGCCUCGGGAAACCGGGAUUAAAACCUCAUAAUGCGUUAAGAAGACAUCUUCAUAACGCCAAAGAUUUAUCGGCAAGGGAUGGGCCUGCGUCUGAUUAGUUAGUUGGUGGGGUAACGGCCUACCAAGGCAGCGAUCAGUAGCCGACCUGAGAGGGUGAUCGGCCACAUUGGAACUGAGACACGGUCCAAACUCCUACGGGAGGCAGCAGUGGGGAAUAUUGCACAAUGGGGGAAACCCUGAAUGCAGCAACGCCGCGUGAAGGAUGAAGGCCCUUGGGUCGUAAACUUCUGUUCUAAGGGAAGAUAAUGACGGUACCUUAGGAGCAAGUCCCGGCUAACUACGUGCCAGCCGCAGC